UUGGAGGGCAAGUCUGGUGCCAGCAGCCGCGGUAAUUCCAGCUCCAAUAGCGUAUAUUAAAGUUGUUGCAGUUAAAAAGCUCGUAGUUGAAUUUCGGGAUCAAUACGUCGGUCGUGCUUUUUUGGUACGCACUGGCGUCAUUGGUUUCUCCUUUCUGACGAACCAUGAUGUCAUUAAUUUGGUGUUAUGGGGAGUUAGGACUGUUACUUUGAAAAAAUUAGAGUGUUUAAAGCAGGCAUUAGCUUGAAUACAUUAGCAUGGAAUAAUGAAAUAGGACGUUCGAUCCUAUUUUGUUGGUUUCUAGGAUCAACGUAAUGAUUAAUAGGGAUAGUUGGG
Molecule: unclassified non-coding RNA, 336 nt
Filed under: uncultured Glomeraceae
Lineage: Eukaryota; Fungi; Glomeromycota; Glomeromycetes; Glomerales; Glomeraceae
Description: SSU rRNA
Rfam family: Eukaryotic small subunit ribosomal RNA
Source: RNAcentral